CAGCAGCCGCGGGAACACGUAGGGGGCAAGCGUUAUCCGGAUUUACUGGGUGUAAAGGGAGCGUAGACGGCAAAUAAAGUCUGAAGUGAAAGCCCGCAGCUCAACUGCGGAGUUGCUUUGGAAACUUAUAAGCUGGAGUGUCGGAGGGGUAAGCGGAAUUCCCAGUGUAGCGGUGAAAUGCGUAGAUAUUGGGAGGAACACCGGAGGCGAAGGCGGCUUACUGGAAGAUAACUGACGCUGAGGCUCGAAAGCCAGGGGAGCGAACGGGAUUAGAGACCCCAGUAGUCCCUGUCUCUUAUAC
This 301-nucleotide ribosomal RNA is filed under the name uncultured bacterium. RNAcentral's name for it is "partial 16S ribosomal RNA". It matches the Rfam family "Bacterial small subunit ribosomal RNA", at positions 509 to 807 of the family's 1533-position model. The record is from RNAcentral.